CAAGUCGCACGAGAAAGUGGAGCAAUCCAUGAGUACAGUGGCGCACGGGUGAGUAACACGUGAAUCAUCUACCUCCGAGUGGGGAAUAACCUAGAGAAAUCUGGGCUAAUACCGCAUAACACUUACGAGUCAAAGCAGCAAUGCGCUUGGAGAGGAGUUCGCGGCCGAUUAGCUAGUUGGCGGGGUAAUGGCCAACCAAGGCGAUGAUCGGUAUCCGGCCUGAGAGGGCGCACGGACACACUGGAACUGAAACACGGUCCAGACUCCUACGGGAGGCAGCAGUGGGGAAUUUUGCGCAAUGGGGGAAACCCUGACGCAGCAACGCCGCGUGGAGGAUGAAAUCCCUUGGGAUGUAAACUCCUUUCGAUGGGGAAGAUUAUGACGGUACCCAUAGAAGAAGCCCCGGCUAACUUCGUGCCAGCAGCCGCGGUAAUACGAGGGGGGCAAGCGUUGUUCGGAAUUAUUGGGCGUAAAGGGUGCGUAGGCGGUCUGACAAGUCUGAUGUGAAAUCUAUGGGCUCAACCCAUAGUCUGCAUCGGAAACUGUCGGGCUUGAGUAUGGGAGAGGUGAGUGGAAUUUCCGGUGUAGCGGUGAAAUGCGUAGAUAUCGGAAGGAACACCUGUGGCGAAAGCGGCUCACUGGACCAUUACUGACGCUGAGGCACGAAAGCUAGGGGAGCAAACAGGAUUAGAUACCCUGGUAGUCCUAGCCCUAAACGAUGAUCGCUUGAUGUGGCAGGUACCCAAUCCUGCCGUGUCGAAGCUAACGCGAUAAGCGAUCCGCCUGGGGAGUACGGUCGCAAGGCUGAAACUCAAAGGAAUUGACGGGGGCCCGCACAAGCGGUGGAGCAUGUGGUUUAAUUCGACGCAACGCGAAGAACCUUACCUGGGCUCGAAAUGCACAGGAAUCCGGUAGAAAUAUCGGCGUCUA
This 930-nucleotide ribosomal RNA is filed under the name uncultured Terriglobales bacterium. RNAcentral describes it as "bacterial SSU rRNA". It matches the Rfam family "Bacterial small subunit ribosomal RNA", at positions 58 to 1018 of the family's 1533-position model. The record is from RNAcentral. Lineage: Bacteria; Pseudomonadati; Acidobacteriota; Terriglobia; Terriglobales.